RNAcentral lists this ribosomal RNA (995 nucleotides) under Vibrio sp. RNAcentral describes it as "bacterial SSU rRNA". It matches the Rfam family "Bacterial small subunit ribosomal RNA", at positions 34 to 1011 of the family's 1533-position model. The record is from RNAcentral. RNAcentral also lists the same sequence under 1 other name. Lineage: Bacteria; Pseudomonadati; Pseudomonadota; Gammaproteobacteria; Vibrionales; Vibrionaceae.
GGAUUGCGGCAGCUACACAUGCAGUCGAGCGGAACGAGUUAACUGAACCUUCGGGGAACGUUAACGGCGUCGAGCGGCGGACGGGUGAGUAAUGCCUGGGAAAUUGCCCUGAUGUGGGGGAUAACCAUUGGAAACGAUGGCUAAUACCGCAUAAUAGCUUCGGCUCAAAGAGGGGGACCUUCGGGCCUCUCGCGUCAGGAUAUGCCCAGGUGGGAUUAGCUAGUUGGUGAGGUAAUGGCUCACCAAGGCGACGAUCCCUAGCUGGUCUGAGAGGAUGAUCAGCCACACUGGAACUGAGACACGGUCCAGACUCCUACGGGAGGCAGCAGUGGGGAAUAUUGCACAAUGGGCGCAAGCCUGAUGCAGCCAUGCCGCGUGUAUGAAGAAGGCCUUCGGGUUGUAAAGUACUUUCAGCAGUGAGGAAGGUGGUGUCGUUAAUAGCGGCAUCAUUUGACGUUAGCUGCAGAAGAAGCACCGGCUAACUCCGUGCCAGCAGCCGCGGUAAUACGGAGGGUGCGAGCGUUAAUCGGAAUUACUGGGCGUAAAGCGCAUGCAGGUGGUUUGUUAAGUCAGAUGUGAAAGCCCGGGGCUCAACCUCGGAAUUGCAUUUGAAACUGGCAGACUAGAGUACUGUAGAGGGGGGUAGAAUUUCAGGUGUAGCGGUGAAAUGCGUAGAGAUCUGAAGGAAUACCGGUGGCGAAGGCGGCCCCCUGGACAGAUACUGACACUCAGAUGCGAAAGCGUGGGGAGCAAACAGGAUUAGAUACCCUGGUAGUCCACGCCGUAAACGAUGUCUACUUGGAGGUUGUGGCCUUGAGCCGUGGCUUUCGGAGCUAACGCGUUAAGUAGACCGCCUGGGGAGUACGGUCGCAAGAUUAAAACUCAAAUGAAUUGACGGGGGCCCGCACAAGCGGUGGAGCAUGUGGUUUAAUUCGAUGCAACGCGAAGAACCUUACCUACUCUUGACAUCCUCAGAAGAUGUACUGGAGAUAGAC